AUUGAACGCUGGCGGCAGGCCUAACACAUGCAAGUCGAACGAGUGGCGGACGGGUGAGUAAUGUCUGGGAAACUGCCUGAUGGAGGGGGAUCACUAUUGGACACGGUCGCUAAUCCCACAUUCCAUCAGAUGUGCACAGAUGGGAUUAGCUAGUUGGUGGGGUAACGGCUCACCAAGGCGACGAUCCCUAGCUGGUCUGAGAGGAUGACCAGCCACACUGGAACUGAGACACGGUCCAGACUCCUACGGGAGGCAGCAGUGGGGAAUAUUGCACAAUGGGCGCAAGCCUGAUGCAGCCAUGCCGCGUGUAUGAAGAAGGCCUUCGGGUUGUAAAGUACUUUCAGCGGGGAGGCGUUACCCGCAGAAGAAGCACCGGCUAACUCCGUGCCAGCAGCCGCGGUAAUUC
Molecule: ribosomal RNA, 406 nt
Filed under: uncultured bacterium
Lineage: Bacteria
Description: partial 16S ribosomal RNA
Rfam family: Bacterial small subunit ribosomal RNA
Source: RNAcentral